GUGGGCAACCUGCCCGCAAGACCGGGAUAACUCCSGGAAACCGGAGCUAAUACCGGAUAACACCAAAGACCGCAUGGUCUUUGGUUGAAAGGCGGCUUCGGCUGYCACUUGCGGAUGGGCCCGCGGCGCAUUAGCUAGUUGGUGAGGUAACGGCUCACCAAGGCGACGAUGCGUAGCCGGCCUGAGAGGGUGACCGGCCACACUGGGACUGAGACACGGCCCAGACUCCUACGGGAGGCAGCAGUAGGGAAUCUUCCGCAAUGGACGAAAGUCUGACGGAGCGACGCCGCGUGAGCGAAGAAGGCCUUCGGGUCGUAAAGCUCUGUUGUGAGGGACGAAGGAGCGCCGUUUGAAUAAGGCGGCGCGGUGACGGUACCUCACGAGAAAGCCCCGGCUAACUACGUGCCAGCAGCCGCGGUAAUACGUAGGGGGCGAGCGUUGUCCGGAAUUAUUGGGCGUAAAGCGCGCGCAGGCGGUCCUUUAAGUCUGAUGUGAAAGCCCACGGCUCAACCGUGGAGGGUCAUUGGAAACUGGGGGACUUGAGUGCAGGAGAGGAGAGCGGAAUUCCACGUGUAGCGGUGAAAUGCGUAGAGAUGUGGAGGAACACCAGUGGCGAAGGCGGCUCUCUGGCCUGUAACUGACGCUGAGGCGCGAAAGCGUGGGGAGCAAACAGAUUAGAUACCCUGGUAGUCCACGCCGUAACGAUGAGUGCUAAGUGUUAGAGGGGUCACACCCU
RNAcentral lists this ribosomal RNA (736 nucleotides) under Geobacillus sp. Its description in RNAcentral is "bacterial SSU rRNA". It matches the Rfam family "Bacterial small subunit ribosomal RNA", at positions 117 to 839 of the family's 1533-position model. Lineage: Bacteria; Bacillati; Bacillota; Bacilli; Caryophanales; Anoxybacillaceae. The record is from RNAcentral.